CAGUAGCCGCGGGAAUACGGAGGAUGCAAGCGUUAUCCGGAAUGAUUGGGCGUAAAGCGUCUGUAGGUGGUUUAUUAAGUCUGCUGUUAAAGCACAGGGCUUAACCCUGUAUAGGCGGUAGAAACUGGUAGGCUUGAGUAUGGUAGGGGUAGAGGGAAUUCCCGAUGUAGUGGUGAAAUGCGUUGAUAUCGGGAAGAACACCAAAGGCGAAAGCACUCUGCUGGGCCAAUACUGACACUAAGAGACGAAAGCUAGGGGAGCAAAUGGGAUUAGAUACCCGAGUAGUCCCUGUCUCUUAUAC
This 301-nucleotide ribosomal RNA is filed under the name uncultured bacterium. Its description in RNAcentral is "partial 16S ribosomal RNA". It matches the Rfam family "Bacterial small subunit ribosomal RNA", at positions 509 to 807 of the family's 1533-position model. The record is from RNAcentral.